This 1476-nucleotide ribosomal RNA is filed under the name Bacillus sp. BAM584. Its description in RNAcentral is "bacterial SSU rRNA". It matches the Rfam family "Bacterial small subunit ribosomal RNA". Lineage: Bacteria; Bacillati; Bacillota; Bacilli; Caryophanales; Bacillaceae. The record is from RNAcentral.
GACGAACGCUGGCGGCGUGCCUAAUACAUGCAAGUCGAGCGAAUCGAUGGGAGCUUGCUCCCUGAGAUUAGCGGCGSACGGGUGAGUAACACGUGGGCAACCUGCCUAUAAGACUGGGAUAACUUCGGGAAACCGSAGCUAAUACCGGAUACGUUCUUUUCUCGCAUGAGAGAAGAUGGAAAGACGGUUUACGCUGUCACUUAUAGAUGGGCCCGCGGCGCAUUAGCUAGUUGGUGAGGUAAUGGCUCACCAAGGCGACGAUGCGUAGCCGACCUGAGAGGGKGAUCGGCCACACUGGGACUGAGACACGGCCCAGACUCCUACGGGAGGCAGCAGUAGGGAAUCUUCCGCAAUGGACGAAAGUCUGACGGAGCAACGCCGCGUGAACGAAGAAGGCCUUCGGGUCGUAAAGUUCUGUUGUUAGGGAAGAACAAGUACCAGAGUAACUGCUGGUACCUUGACGGUACCUAACCAGAAAGCCACGGCUAACUACGUGCCAGCAGCCGCGGUAAUAUGUAGGUGGCAAGCGUUGUCCGGAAUUAUUGGGCGUAAAGCGCGCGCAGGUGGUUCCUUAAGUCUGAUGUGAAAGCCCACGGCUCAACCGUGGAGGGUCAUUGGAAACUGGGGAACUUGAGUGCAGAAGAGGAAAGUGGAAUUCCAAGUGUAGCGGUGAAAUGCGUAGAGAUUUGGAGGAACACCAGUGGCGAAGGCGACUUUCUGGUCUGUAACUGACACUGAGGCGCGAAAGCGUGGGGAGCAAACAGGAUUAGAUACCCUGGUAGUCCACGCCGUAAACGAUGAGUGCUAAGUGUUAGAGGGUUUCCGCCCUUUAGUGCUGCAGCUAACGCAUUAAGCACUCCGCCUGGGGAGUACGGCCGCAAGGCUGAAACUCAAAGGAAUUGACGGGGGCCCGCACAAGCGGUGGAGCAUGUGGUUUAAUUCAAAGCAACGCGAAGAACCUUACCAGGUCUUGACAUCCUCUGACAACCCUAGAGAUAGGGCUUUCCCCUUCGGGGGACAGAGUGACAGGUGGUGCAUGGUUGUCGUCAGCUCGUGUCGUGAGAUGUUGGGUUAAGUCCCGCAACGAGCGCAACCCUUGAUCUUAGUUGCCAGCAUUCAGUUGGGCACUCUAAGGUGACUGCCGGUGACAAACCGGAGGAAGGUGGGGAUGACGUCAAAUCAUCAUGCCCCUUAUGACCUGGGCUACACACGUGCUACAAUGGAUGGUACAAAGGGCUGCAAACCUGCGAAGGUAAGCGAAUCCCAUAAAGCCAUUCUCAGUUCGGAUUGCAGGCUGCAACUCGCCUGCAUGAAGCCSGAAUCGCUAGUAAUCGCGGAUCASCAUGCCGCGGUGAAUACGUUCCCGGGCCUUGUACACACCGCCCGUCACACCACGAGAGUUUGUAACACCCGAAGUCGGUGAGGUAACCUUCAUGGAGCCAGCCGCCUAAGGUGGGACAGAUGAUUGGGGUGAAG